RNAcentral lists this ribosomal RNA (468 nucleotides) under uncultured bacterium. Its description in RNAcentral is "partial 16S ribosomal RNA". It matches the Rfam family "Bacterial small subunit ribosomal RNA", at positions 28 to 507 of the family's 1533-position model. The record is from RNAcentral.
GACGAACGCUGGCGGCGUGCUUAACACAUGCAAGUCGAACGGAAAGGCCCUGCUUUUGUGGGGUGCUCGAGUGGCGAACGGGUGAGUAACACGUGAGUAACCUGCCCUUGACUUUGGGAUAACUUCAGGAAACUGGGGCUAAUACCGGAUAGGAGCUCCUGCUGCAUGGUGGGGGUUGGAAAGUUUCGGCGGUUGGGGAUGGACUCGCGGCUUAUCAGCUUGUUGGUGGGGUAGUGGCUUACCAAGGCUUUGACGGGUAGCCGGACUGAGAGGGUGACCGGCCACAUUGGGACUGAGGUACGGCCCAGACUCCUACGUGAGGCAGCAGUGGGGAAUAUUGCACAAUGGGCGGAAGCCUGAUGCAGCAACGCCGCGUGCGGGAUGACGGCCUGCGGGUUGUAACCCGCUUUCGCCUGUGACGAAGCGUGAGUGACGGUAAUGGGUAAAGAAGCACCGGCUAACUACGUG